RNAcentral lists this ribosomal RNA (444 nucleotides) under uncultured bacterium. Its description in RNAcentral is "bacterial SSU rRNA". It matches the Rfam family "Bacterial small subunit ribosomal RNA", at positions 355 to 796 of the family's 1533-position model. The record is from RNAcentral.
UAAGGAAUAUUGGUCAAUGGGCGGAAGCCUGAACCAGCCAUGCCGCGUGCAGGAAGACGGCCCUACGGGUUGUAAACUGCUUUUGCAGGGGAAUAAACCCUCGUUCGUGAACGAGGCUGAAUGUACUCUGAGAAUAAGGAUCGGCUAACUCCGUGCCAGCAGCCGCGGUAAUACGGAGGAUCCGAGCGUUAUCCGGAUUUAUUGGGUUUAAAGGGUGCGUAGGCGGCCUGUUAAGUCAGGGGUGAAAGACGGUAGCUCAACUAUCGCAGUGCCUUUGAUACUGAUGGGCUUGAAUAUACUAGAGGUAGGCGGAAUGUGACAAGUAGCGGUGAAAUGCAUAGAUAUGUCACAGAACACCAAUUGCGAAGGCAGCUUACUAUGGUAUGAUUGACGCUGAGGCACGAAAGCGUGGGGAUCAAACAGGAUUAGAUACCCGCGUAGUCC